RNAcentral lists this transfer RNA (86 nucleotides) under Actinomycetota bacterium. RNAcentral's name for it is "Actinobacteria bacterium tRNA-Ser". It matches the Rfam family "tRNA". From Rfam's summary of the family: Transfer RNA (tRNA) molecules are approximately 80 nucleotides in length. The record is from RNAcentral. Lineage: Bacteria; Bacillati; Actinomycetota.
GGUGAGGUGCCCGAGCGGCCUAAGGGAACGGUCUUGAAAACCGUCGAGGUUCAUAGCCUCCGUGGGUUCAAAUCCCACCCUCACCG